RNAcentral lists this ribosomal RNA (505 nucleotides) under uncultured bacterium. RNAcentral's name for it is "partial 16S ribosomal RNA". It matches the Rfam family "Bacterial small subunit ribosomal RNA", at positions 28 to 507 of the family's 1533-position model. The record is from RNAcentral.
GACGAACGCUGGCGGCGUGCCUAAUACAUGCAAGUAGAACGCACAGUUUAUACCGUAGCUUGCUACACCAUAGACUGUGAGUUGCGAACGGGUGAGUAACGCGUAGGUAACCUGCCUGGUAGCGGGGGAUAACUAUUGGAAACGAUAGCUAAUACCGCAUAAUAUUAAUUAUUGCAUGAUAAUUAAUUAAAAGGUGCAAUUGCACCACUACCAGAUGGACCUGCGUUGUAUUAGCUAGUAGGUGAGGUAACGGCUCACCUAGGCGACGAUACAUAGCCGACCUGGGAGGGUGAUCGGCCACACUGGGACUGAGACACGGCCCAGACUCCUACGGGAGGCAGCAGUAGGGAAUCUUCGGCAAUGGACGAAAGUCUGACCGAGCAACGCCGCGUGAGUGAAGAAGGUUUUCGGAUCGUAAAGCUCUGUUGUAAGAGAAGAACGGGUGUGAGAGUGGAAAGUUCACACUGUGACGGUAUCUUACCAGAAAGGGACGGCUAACUACGUG